This 567-nucleotide ribosomal RNA is filed under the name Lipomyces mesembrius. RNAcentral describes it as "partial 26S ribosomal RNA". It matches the Rfam family "Eukaryotic large subunit ribosomal RNA", at positions 62 to 648 of the family's 3401-position model. Lineage: Eukaryota; Fungi; Ascomycota; Lipomycetes; Lipomycetales; Lipomycetaceae. The record is from RNAcentral.
AAACCAACAGGGAUUGCCUUAGUAACUGCGAGUGAAGCGGCAAGAGCUCAAAUUUGAAAUCUGGCACCUUCGGUGUCCGAGUUGUAAUUUGUAGAAGCAUCUUUUGGAUUGGUCCUUGCAUAUGUUCCUUGGAACAGGACAUCAUAGAGGGUGAGAAUCCCGUUCAUGGUGGGGAAUCCAAUUCUUUGUAAAGUGCUUUCGAAGAGUCGAGUUGUUUGGGAAUGCAGCUCUAAGUGGGUGGUAAAUUCCAUCUAAAGCUAAAUAUUGGCGAGAGACCGAUAGCGAACAAGUACAGUGAUGGAAAGAUGAAAAGAACUCCGAAAGGAGAGUGAAAAAGGACGUGAAAUUGUUGAAAGGGAAGUGCUUGAGAUCAGUCUUAAGGUUUAGUGAUCAGUCUUCCUUUUGGUUGGUGCACUCACUAUUUCUUAGGCCAACAUCAGUUUUGGCGGCAGGAUAAUGACAUUGGAAUGUGGCUCUUUCGGGAGUGUUAUAACCUUUGUUGAUACUGCCUGCUUAUACUGACGACUGCGCUUUUGCUAGGAUGUUGGCAUAAUGAUCUUAAGCAGC